Molecule: unclassified non-coding RNA, 362 nt
Filed under: Hevea brasiliensis (rubber tree)
Lineage: Eukaryota; Viridiplantae; Streptophyta; Magnoliopsida; Malpighiales; Euphorbiaceae
Source: RNAcentral
UUUUAAAUUAGAUCGAAUUAACUUAGUUUGGUUGAAUUUUUUAAUUCAGACCAAAAUCUACCCACCCUUGGCUCCAUGCACUGCACGCUGAUCCAAUAAAAUAGAAUUAACACUCUAUACUAGAUGAAGAAAAACAUAAAUAAACCUCCAAAACAAGGACAUAAACCACGAACAACAUAUAAGAAAACACAUAAAAAAAAUAAAAAUUAUUUUGAGAAAAAACAGAAAAACUAAAAGAAAGUAAGAAAAAUCAAACAAGAAAAUAAAAACACUAAAAAAAUAAAGAAAAGAUUAACAAAAUGGAAGAGGGAAGUGCUGCUGGCCAAAAAUUUGUUGCAAGCUGUCACGACCCAACCUAUGGG